RNAcentral lists this ribosomal RNA (524 nucleotides) under Phoma sp. E8. RNAcentral describes it as "eukaryotic LSU rRNA". The stretch from base 164 to 317 matches the Rfam family "5.8S ribosomal RNA". The record is from RNAcentral. Lineage: Eukaryota; Fungi; Ascomycota; Dothideomycetes; Pleosporales; Didymellaceae.
GUGAACCUGCGGAAGGAUCAUUACCUAGAGUUGUAGGCUUUGCCUGCUAUCUCUUACCCAUGUCUUUACAGUACCUUCGUUUCCUCGGCGGGUUCGCCCGCCGAUUGGACAAACUUAAACCCUUUGCAGUUGCAAUCAGCGUCUGAAAAAACAUAAUAGUUACAACUUUCAACAACGGAUCUCUUGGUUCUGGCAUCGAUGAAGAACGCAGCGAAAUGCGAUAAGUAGUGUGAAUUGCAGAAUUCAGUGAAUCAUCGAAUCUUUGAACGCACAUUGCGCCCCUUGGUAUUCCAUGGGGCAUGCCUGUUCGAGCGUCAUUUGUACCUUCAAGCUUUGCUUGGUGUUGGGUGUUUGUCUCGCCUCUGCGUGUAGACUCGCCUCAAAACAAUUGGCAGCCGGCGUAUUGAUUUCGGAGCGCAGUACAUCUCGCGCUUUGCACUCAUAACGACGACGAUCCAAAAGUACAUUUUUACACUCUUGACCUCGGAUCAGGUAGGGAUACCCGCUGAACUUAAGCAUAUCAA